This 1191-nucleotide ribosomal RNA is filed under the name Triticum aestivum (bread wheat). Its description in RNAcentral is "partial small subunit ribosomal RNA". Lineage: Eukaryota; Viridiplantae; Streptophyta; Magnoliopsida; Poales; Poaceae. The record is from RNAcentral.
AUGGCGCCGCCGGCCGUCGUGGGUUUCUCCGAUCUGCCGACGGAGGCGCUGGACGAGAUCGCCCGGCGCUCCGGGCCCCUCGACAACGUGCUCUGCUCCGCCGUCUGCAGGUCCUGGCGCCGCGCCCUCAGGACCGCGCGCCUCGGCCGCCUCCAAGAGCCGAACCGCCCGCACAGCAUAUUCCUGCAUACCGAGGCGCGCGAGGUCGUCUUGGAGGUCAGCUUCAUCUAUCGCCGCGAUUACUACGAGGACCCGCCCUUUGGACGAGUACGGGUACGAACCGUGGUGGACGGCAAGAUCGCCAACUACCCGUCCAUCAAGAUCAUAGGGGCCUCCUACGGCUGGAUCGUGGUCGUCUACAAGCACGACGACGGGAGCGUCAUCUACCUCGUCGACCCCUUCACCGGCCGGCGGUUCCCGCUGCCUCGCUUCACCGACUUGUCACGCAGCUGGAGGCAGGAGGAGGAGCUCCGGACGGGGCUUCUCUUCAAGCACAGGGGCAUGUUCCACAAGGCGGCGCUCGCUCCCGGGCGCCGGCUGGGCACCUACGCCGUCAUGCUCAUCCACAGCGACGGGCGCGGCCUCUCAUUCCUGCGGCCCGGGGACAGGUCCUGGAGGGCGGUGCGCUCCCCGAGGGCCAUGCCGCACAGGUACGUCGACGUCGUCUUCCACAAGGGCGCGUUCUGCACGCUCAGCUCCUUUGGCGAGGUGAACGCCUGGGCGCCCGACGGCGGGGGCGGCCUGCGGACGAGGCGGCUCACGGACCAGCGACCGGAGCAGCUGGAGUGGGCCGUCCUCGCCGAGUCCGAAUCGCGCCACGACCUUCUCAUGGUGAGCACCAUGGAUAGGCCGCCGUGCUCUAAACGCCGGCAGCACUUCGAGGUGUCCCGCUGCGACGAGCGCCAGCGCAGGUGGCUCCCCGUGAAGGACAUUGGGGAGACGGCCAUCUUGGCCGGGAGCCAGAGCAGCUUGUGUCUCUCCACGCCAGGCUCCCCUCGACUCGCCGGUAGCAGCAACCACAUCUACUUUGCUUCGGACUGUGCGACGAGCAACAUGAAGUGUGAUUAUGGAAACCCUGACUACUACCGGCUGCCGAUUGCGGCCGAGAGCUUGGCGGGUAGGGAGAUAUCCGGGUGGACUUGGUUUCUACCUUACGUUGCACGAUUAGAUUAUGGAGCUUCUCCUUCUUGA